This 450-nucleotide ribosomal RNA is filed under the name uncultured bacterium. RNAcentral's name for it is "partial 16S ribosomal RNA". It matches the Rfam family "Bacterial small subunit ribosomal RNA", at positions 354 to 796 of the family's 1533-position model. The record is from RNAcentral.
GUGGGGAAUCUUCCGCAAUGGACGAAAGUCUGACGGAGCAACGCCGCGUGAGUGAUGACGGCCUUCGGGUUGUAAAGCUCUGUGAUCGGGGACGAAUGGCUGGUAUGCUAAUACCAUAUCAGAGUGACGGUACCCGAAUAGCAAGCCACGGCUAACUACGUGCCAGCAGCCGCGGUAAUACGUAGGUGGCAAGCGUUGUCCGGAAUUAUUGGGCGUAAAGCGCGCGCAGGCGGCUUCUUAAGUCCAUCUUAAAAGUGCGGGGCUUAACCCCGUGAUGGGAUGGAAACUGGGAGGCUGGAGUAUCGGAGAGGAAAGUGGAAUUCCUAGUGUAGCGGUGAAAUGCGUAGAGAUUAGGAAGAACACCGGUGGCGAAGGCGACUUUCUGGACGACAACUGACGCUGAGGCGCGAAAGCGUGGGGAGCAAACAGGAUUAGAAACCCUUGUAGUCC